AACUUGGUGAUUGUGCUUCAAGAUGAUGGAGAAAAAUGAACAAGUGACUGCACACCAAAUAUAAUCCACCUUUCUGAGAGCAGGAAGCAGGAGCCCAUGCUCAUGCCUCAUGUGGCAUUUCUGCACACCAUUUGUCUUCUGGGCUGGGAAACUCACAUGCCUUAGAAACUUCUGCGGAGUUUCAAAGAAUGUGAAGAUGGAGCUAAAGUUUUGACAAUUUCUGUGGCUGAGAUCAAGGAACCAUAAUUAACCACCAAAGUAUUGGUGGAUGUUGCUGCCACUUCACACAAAACAGCAGGGCCAGUCCAGCCCAAAGCUAGAAGACCACAGGAAAUGGGCAUAUGCGACAGCUACCCAUGGGUUUGAAAAGACGGAGUGUGUCCCAAGCACUGAAGAGGUAUCUACAAGUCUUUGUGUCUUCUGAGCAUGCCUCAGGAGGCUGUUCUCCUGUUGUUUACUAGGAAUCUGAAAUUUAAGGCUUGAAGCUUAAAGACCAUGGAAUUACUGGCAUCUCGUUGUUAACUGAGACAGUGGAUGUGGAUAAGCUUUGAAAGAUGUAACAAAUAAAAGCAGAGAUUAUCAUGGA
This is a long non-coding RNA of Canis lupus familiaris (dog), 586 nucleotides long. RefSeq lists it as uncharacterized. NCBI's taxonomy places the organism in Eukaryota, Metazoa, Chordata, Mammalia, Carnivora, Canidae. The record is from RefSeq and is a predicted model, not a curated record. The transcript is spliced from 2 exons.